UUCGAUUAUGGCUCAGAUUGAACGCUGGCGGGAUGCGCUACAUGCAAGUCGGGCAACGCGCGGACUUCAGUCUGGUGGCGAGUGGCAGGCGGGUGAGUAAUGUCGGGCCUGCUGGUGGCGGGAGUAACUCCGCGGCGUGGCCCUAAUACCACCAUACGCCCUUCGGAAAGCAGGACCUUCCGGGCUCGCGCCAGCCAGGCGGCCGAUAUUCGGUUGUGGCUGGAUUGGUGGGGUAACGGCUCCGCAGGCGACGAUCGUAGCUGGUUUGAGAGGACGACCAGCCACACACUGGGACUGAACGGCCCAGACUCCUACAGGAGGCAGCAGUGAAGAAUUUUGGACAAUGGGGAAACCCUGAUCAGCCAUCCGGUAUUGCGAUGAGCCUUCGGGUUGUAAAGCACUUUUGGCAGGAAAGAAACGGCACAGGAUAAUACCCGUGCAACUGACAGUACCUGCAGAAUAAAGCACCGGCUAACUACGUGCCAGCAGCCGCGGUAAUACGUGAAGUGCAAGCGUUAAUGGAAUUACUGGGCGUAAAGCGUGCGCGAGCGGUUCGGAAAGAAGAUGUAGAAAUCCAGAGGCUUUAACUUUUGGAACUUGCGGGCACUAACUACCGAGAGCUCGAUGUCGGGAAGGUGAAUUCGCGUAACCAUAGAGCAAAUACGUAAAGAUAUACGGAAGGCUUACCAAAUCAGCGACUUGGCCUCUGGGAUAACACUGGCAUCUUUGCUUAGUGUGAGGCCAAGCAGGGACCGAAUGCCCACAGAGCGAAGGUCUACGCCUGGCAGUGUCGCUUCGCUGUUGGGACGCUGGGGCCUUGAAACAACAACUGCGCGGCUGGGAUGUUGCCACCGGGGGUGCGGUCGCCAGAUUAAAGCUCAAGGAAUUGAGCAGGGACCCUGGCGGUGGAUGAUGUGGAUUAAUUCGUGCAACGCCGAAAAACCUUACCUACCCUUGACAUGUCUGGAAUCCCGAAGAGAUUUGGGAGUGCUCGCAAAGAGAACCGGAACACAGGUGCUGCAUGGCUGUCGUCAGCUCGUGUCGUGAGAUGUUAGGUUAUGAUCCCUGGCGCUGGCAUGACUACGCUGUCGCCGGUUUGCACCACGAAAGGCUCUGUGAGACUGCCGGUGACAAACCGGAGGAAAGACAAGGGAUGACGUCAGUCUCCAUGGCCCCGCCGCUGAACGGGGCUUCCUCACGUCAUACAAUGGUCAGGACAGAGGUCGCCAACCCGCAGGGGGCUGUCUGAAGGCUGAUCGUAGUCCGGAUCGCAGUCUGCAACUCGACUGCGUGAAGUCGGAAUCGCUAGUAAUCGCGGAUCAGCAUGUCGCGGUGAAUACGUUCCCGGGUCUUGUACACCGCCCGUCACACCAUGGGGAUGGGUUUACCAGUAGUUUAACAUAACCCGUGGGAGGGCGGAGUUGCCACGGCUGAUUCAUGACUGGGGUGAAAGUCAUGUCAGAUAG
Molecule: ribosomal RNA, 1466 nt
Filed under: uncultured Bordetella sp.
Lineage: Bacteria; Pseudomonadati; Pseudomonadota; Betaproteobacteria; Burkholderiales; Alcaligenaceae
Description: partial 16S-23S ribosomal RNA intergenic spacer
Rfam family: Bacterial small subunit ribosomal RNA
Source: RNAcentral